Molecule: ribosomal RNA, 468 nt
Filed under: uncultured bacterium
Lineage: Bacteria
Description: partial 16S ribosomal RNA
Rfam family: Bacterial small subunit ribosomal RNA
Source: RNAcentral
GAUGAACGCUGACAGAAUGCUUAACACAUGCAAGUCUACUUGAAUUUGGGUUUUUUAACUUAGAUUUGGGUGGCGGACGGGUGAGUAACGCGUAAAAAACUUGCCUCACAGUUAGGGACAACAUUUGGAAACGAAUGCUAAUACCUGAUAUUAUGAAUAUAUGGCAUCAUAUAAUUAUGAAAGCUAUAAGCGCUGUGAGAGAGCUUUGCGUCCCAUUAGCUAGUUGGAGAGGUAACGGCUCACCAAGGCGAUGAUGGGUAGCCGGCCUGAGAGGGUGAACGGCCACAAGGGGACUGAGACACGGCCCUUACUCCUACGGGAGGCAGCAGUGGGGAAUAUUGGACAAUGGACCAAGAGUCUGAUCCAGCAAUUCUGUGUGCACGAUGACGUUUUUCGGAAUGUAAAGUGCUUUCAGUUGGGAAGAAAAAAAUGACGGUACCAACAGAAGAAGAGACGGCUAAAUACGUG